GAUACGCCGGGAUACGCGAACUUUGCAGUAUCCCCCGAAUUUCGAUUUUAAAAAAGGAAAAGAAAACACAGGGAUACGCUGGGACACGUGUGGGAUACGUUUGGGACACGGCCUGGCCCAAAACAGCCUCGGCCCAACCCAGUAUACCUAACCUAUUUGCAGGAACUCCCGCACGCUCUCGUCUCAAGGACGAGGUGCUCCCUCCCAGCCUCCCCGCGCCGCCAGCCUCCUGGAUCGAAGCCGCCUCCGCCUUGACUCGUCGCCGCCGCCGCCGGCGACGCCUGGAUUCGACCGGCGAUAGCUGGUGCUACCCCCAGCCUCGCAGAUGCAGCUUGCAAUGACAACAUGACAUGGGGGGAUGAGGACCAAUCAAUCAUCACUUGAUAAAAGAGACACCAAAUGGGGCAUUAUCCUCUAUUAUGAUCUCUUUCUUAUUAAUUUUCUGUCUUAAUUGUAUAUUAUAUGGCAUAUUUUUAUUUUAUUUUAUAUAUACUCGCCGUA
Triticum urartu is the source of this 501-nucleotide long non-coding RNA. RefSeq lists it as uncharacterized. The record is from RefSeq and is a predicted model, not a curated record. Lineage: Eukaryota; Viridiplantae; Streptophyta; Magnoliopsida; Poales; Poaceae.